This 215-nucleotide long non-coding RNA is filed under the name Rattus norvegicus (Norway rat). RNAcentral's name for it is "long non-coding RNA NONRATT019043". The record is from RNAcentral. Lineage: Eukaryota; Metazoa; Chordata; Mammalia; Rodentia; Muridae.
GAGGAGUGGGGUUGGAAAUUUCAUAGUCUCAACUGGGAUCCUCAGCUAGAUGGAAUGGGGCUUGGGCAUUGCUCCCCAAAUGAGACUCAGCCCCACAGCAUGAGACUCCCCGAAGACACCGACAGGAUCAAGAUUUGUGCUGCUGGAAUGAUUCGGGAGUCCCUCUGCUCUUCAUGGUCCACGGGGAAGAAUAAAAAGAUGUAACCACCUCCCUU